UUCUACAGGAGAAUCAUUUCUAUAGUAUUCGUCUCUCGCUUUGGUUCCCAAAAGAGCCAUCGAAUCCACCCUGGUUGAUGAUUGCAUAUCCUCAGCACCCAAGAGUGAAUACUUCCUGGUCCUCUCGCUCUGUCCGCAAGGAUGGCGGCGGUUGCCUUGCGCAGCUGCUGUAUAGAGAGUUGUCUCUUGAUGAUCUCGACCCUGUCUGUUGUUUGCCUUCGUAGCACGCGGGCAGGGUGGGUGUUGAUGGACGUCUGACAGGC
This 263-nucleotide small nucleolar RNA is filed under the name Trichoderma reesei QM6a. RNAcentral's name for it is "Fungal small nucleolar RNA U3". It matches the Rfam family "Fungal small nucleolar RNA U3". Rfam says of the family: Small nucleolar RNAs (snoRNAs) are involved in the processing and modification of rRNA in the nucleolus. There are two main classes of snoRNAs: the box C/D class, and the box H/ACA class. Lineage: Eukaryota; Fungi; Ascomycota; Sordariomycetes; Hypocreales; Hypocreaceae. The record is from Rfam by way of RNAcentral.